RNAcentral lists this ribosomal RNA (1800 nucleotides) under human gut metagenome. RNAcentral describes it as "bacterial LSU rRNA". It matches the Rfam family "Bacterial large subunit ribosomal RNA", at positions 823 to 2636 of the family's 2925-position model. The record is from RNAcentral.
GAAAUUCCAAUCGAACCCGGAGAUAGCUGGUUCUCCCCGAAAUAGCUUUAGGGCUAGCGUCGGAAAGAACCUUAGUGAAGGUAGAGCACUGAAUGUGUGAUGGCCCCAUCCCGGGGUACUGAAUACAAUCAAACUGCGAAUGUCAUUAAGGAUGUCCGGCAGUCAGACUGUGAGUGAUAAGGUCCAUGGUCAAGAGGGAAACAGCCCAGACCGCCAGUUAAGGUCCCAAAAUACAGGCUAAGUGGAAAAGGAUGUGGGGAUGCCCAGACAACUAGGAGGUUGGCUCAGAAGCAGCCAUCCUUUAAAGAGUGCGUAACAGCUCACUAGUCGAGUGACCCUGCGCCGAAAAUGUACCGGGGCUAAGCCUGAUACCGAAACUGCGGAUUGUAGGAAACUAUAGUGGUAGGGGAGCGUUGUAUACGAGCAGAAGCCGUACCGUGAGGAGCGGUGGAUUGUAUAGAAGUGAGAAUGCCGGUGUGAGUAGCGAGAUGUAGGUGAGAAUCCUACACACCGAAAGCCCAAGGAUUCCAGGGGAAGGUUCGUCCGCCCUGGGUAAGUCGGGACCUAACGCGAGGCCGAAAGGCGUAGUGGAUGGAAAGCAGGCGAAAGAUUCCUGCACCCGUAUAUGGAGCGAAGGAGUGACGGAGACGGAUAGUGUGACCCUCUUAAUGGAUUGAGGGCGAAGCGAAGCGGCUGGUUACCAGGCAAAUCCGGUAACCAAAAGGCUAGAGCGUGACAGGUAAGCGAAAUCUUAGGAAAGUAGCGAAGCACAUGAUGACGGCUUCCAGGAAAAGCUUCUGGCAAUGCAUAUGCGGCCCGUACCAAAACCGACACAGGUGGGCAGGGAGAGAAUCCCGAGGUGAGCGAGAGAACUGUUGCCAAGGAACUCGGCAAAAUGACUCCGUAAGUUAGCGAGAAGGAGUGCUUAAGCAAUUAAGCCGCAGUGAAGAGGCCCAAGCGACUGUUUAACUAAAACACAGCUCUCUGCGAAGUCGCAAGACGAAGUAUAGGGGGUGACACCUGCCCGGUGCUGGAAGGUUAAGAGGAUCUGUUAAGAGCGAUCUGAAGCAGUGAUCCGAAGCCCCAGUGAACGGCGGCCGUAACUAUAACGGUCCUAAGGUAGCGAAAUUCCUUGUCAGGUAAGUUCUGACCCGCACGAAAGGUGUAACGAUUUGGGCGCUGUCUCGGCAGCAGACUCGGUGAAAUCUUAGUACCUGUGAAAAUGCAGGUUACCCGCAACUAGACGGAAAGACCCCAUGGAGCUUUACUGCAGCCUGAUAUUGAAUUCUGGUCAUACAUGUACAGGAUAGGUGGGAGACAAAGAGACGUGCACGCCAGUGUACGAGGAGUCGACGUUGGGAUACCACUCUUGUGUGACCGGGGUUCUAACCUGGUAUCGAGAACAGGUACGGGGAGAGUGUCAGGUGGGCAGUUUGACUGGGGCGGUCGCCUCCCAAAGAGUAACGGAGGCGCCCAAAGGUACGCUCAGAUUGGAUGGAAACCAAUCGUCGAGUGCAAUUGCAGAAGCGUGCUUGACUGUGAGACAGACAAGUCGAACAGGGACGAAAGUCGGGAAUAGUGAUCCGGCGGUGCCGAAUGGAAGGGCCGUCGCUCAACGGAUAAAAGCUACCCUGGGGAUAACAGGCUGAUCUCGCCCAAGAGUUCACAUCGACGGCGAGGUUUGGCACCUCGAUGUCGGCUCAUCGCAUCCUGGAGCUGGAUUCGGUUCCAAGGGUUGGGCUGUCCGCCCAUUAAAGCGGUACGCGAGCUGGGUUCAGAACGUCGUGAGACAGUUCGGUC